Molecule: ribosomal RNA, 200 nt
Filed under: uncultured bacterium
Lineage: Bacteria
Description: partial 16S ribosomal RNA
Rfam family: Bacterial small subunit ribosomal RNA
Source: RNAcentral
GCAGGCUGAAAUUCGCCUGUAUGAAGCCGGAAUUGCUAGUAAUGGCAGGUCAGCAUACUGCCGUGAAUACGUUCCCGGGCCUUGUACACACCGCCCGUCACACCAUGAGAGUUGGGGAUACCCAAAGCCCGUGAGCCAACUUUUAGAGGCAGCGGUCUAAGGUAGAAUCAAUGAUUGGGGUGAAGUCGUAACAAGGUAGC